This is a long non-coding RNA of Phyllostomus discolor (pale spear-nosed bat), 642 nucleotides long. RefSeq lists it as uncharacterized. The record is from RefSeq and is a predicted model, not a curated record. The transcript is spliced from 3 exons. Lineage: Eukaryota; Metazoa; Chordata; Mammalia; Chiroptera; Phyllostomidae.
CUCACAGGUGACACCACCCAGCCACCCAAAGGCACGUCUAUGAAGGACAGCUCACACACAGAAAGAAUGUAAGUCCAUAUGCUCUCAGUUUUGGAAAAAUAAAAAUAGAAGAAACCCCUGCAAAUAUAUUUCUCUCCUAUUGGUGGGAUUACAGUUGAGUUUUACUCCUUUCACUCAACUUUCUCAUUUUUAUACAAUAAACAAGCACUGAUAUCCCAGCAAAUGUUACCCAUGUGUUUCAUACGUGCAGAAUAAUCACUCCAGAAGUCACCCAGUGGGGAGUCCUGGGCCCUUGCCAACUAACGCAGUUUUGUUCCACAGAACCAUGAAAGCAGUGACUGGAUUUUUGUUUAUUUUGACCCCUCAAAACGCCAUUGAGAUGACAACUGUCCAACUUUGAAAACCCACAGAAUAAACUUCAGGGAUCUUUUAUGGCUUCAUCUGUGGAUCAUGCUGCGGACUAAAACACAGUGGGGCGGGCGGCCAAGCUGCAGCUGGGCUGUGGACAGGGGCGCUGCUUGGGGCGCACACUCCCCGGCAUCAGGACCAUGCCCGAGUGGGAGGGAAGCCCAGAUAAAAGGCACACACGCUGGGGUUCGCGCCUACACACAAUGACAGGCUGGCAUACGUGCUUGCUGAUCC